GCUCAGGACGAACGCUGGCGGCGUGCUUAACACAUGCAAGUCGAACGAUGAACCACUUCGGUGGGGAUUAGUGGCGAACGGGUGAGUAACACGUGGGCAAUCUGCCCUGCACUCUGGGACAAGCCCUGGAAACGGGGUCUAAUACCGGAUACUGACCAUCUUGGGCAUCUUUGAUGGUCGAAAGCUCCGGCGGUGCAGGAUGAGCCCGCGGCCUAUCAGCUAGUUGGUGAGGUAAUGGCUCACCAAGGCGACGACGGGUAGCCGGCCUGAGAGGGCGACCGGCCACACUGGGACUGAGACACGGCCCAGACUCCUACGGGAGGCAGCAGUGGGGAAUAUUGCACAAUGGGCGAAAGCCUGAUGCAGCGACGCCGCGUGAGGGAUGACGGCCUUCGGGUUGUAAACCUCUUUCAGCAGGGAAGAAGCGAAAGUGACGGUACCUGCAGAAGAAGCGCCGGCUAACUACGUGCCAGCAGCCGCGGUAAUACGUAGGGCGCAAGCGUUGUCCGGAAUUAUUGGGCGUAAAGAGCUCGUAGGCGGCUUGUCACGUCGGUUGUGAAAGCCCGGGGCUUAACCCCGGGUCUGCAGUCGAUACGGGCAGGCUAGAGUUCGGUAGGGGAGAUCGGAAUUCCUGGUGUAGCGGUGAAAUGCGCAGAUAUCAGGAGGAACACCGGUGGCGAAGGCGGAUCUCUGGGCCGAUACUGACGCUGAGGAGCGAAAGCGUGGGGAGCGAACAGGAUUAGAUACCCUGGUAGUCCACGCCGUAAACGGUGGGCACUAGGUGUGGGCAACAUUCCACGUUGUCCG
This 807-nucleotide ribosomal RNA is filed under the name Streptomyces thinghirensis. RNAcentral describes it as "bacterial SSU rRNA". It matches the Rfam family "Bacterial small subunit ribosomal RNA", at positions 22 to 843 of the family's 1533-position model. The record is from RNAcentral. Lineage: Bacteria; Bacillati; Actinomycetota; Actinomycetes; Kitasatosporales; Streptomycetaceae.